CAGUAGCCGCGGUAAUACGAAGGGGGCUAGCGUUGCUCGGAAUUACUGGGCGUAAAGCGCACGUAGGCGGACCGAUAAGUCGGGGGUGAAAUCCUGGAGCUCAACUCCAGAACUGCCUUCGAAACUGCCGGUCUUGAGUUCGGGAGAGGUGAGUGGAACUGCGAGUGUAGAGGUGAAAUUCGUAGAUAUUCGCAAGAACACCAGUGGCGAAGGCGGCUCACUGGCCCGAUACUGACGCUGAGGUGCGAAAGCGUGGGGAGCAAACAGGAUUAGAUACCGCGUAGUCCCUGUCUCUUAUACA
Molecule: ribosomal RNA, 301 nt
Filed under: uncultured bacterium
Lineage: Bacteria
Description: partial 16S ribosomal RNA
Rfam family: Bacterial small subunit ribosomal RNA
Source: RNAcentral